Molecule: RNA transcript, 644 nt
Organism: Tribolium castaneum (red flour beetle)
Lineage: Eukaryota; Metazoa; Arthropoda; Insecta; Coleoptera; Tenebrionidae
Exons: 2
Source: RefSeq, a predicted model, not a curated record
UCUACUGCGUGCGCGUCUAUGCUUCUGCGCGUAGCCGCCGUGAAAAACGUUCGAUGAAAUGAAAUCGUCGAAUGGUUUAUUGUGAGUUGGUUUACGCCUUUAAAAGUACGAUGAGUAGCAAAGAAGAAUUUUACGGAAAUUAUCCGAAUAUUAGCAGUAAUGAAUUGCCUUGGUUAAUUGGCUGUCCGCAUGAGGAAAAGAUGGCGGACAUCCAGAACUAUUUUUUGCGGGGCUUAUACAAAUAUGUGAAGAUACAAGAAAUCACUCAAUGGAGAAGAAAUUGCCAGCCAGUAUGUGUGUAUAGGGUGGUUUACAAAAUCAAGGAUAGGACUCCCGAUUUAAGUGGAGAGGAAAUCUUCAUUCCAUUUCCAGAUAAUGACGAAGAGUUAAAAAAAAUGUUUCGUCAUAUUACUGAAAUGAUUUUUGGAAUGCGUGUGGUCGAAAAAAAUAUUAGUGUUGAUAGAGUCUUCGCAUCAAUAAGCUAUGCCCCGGCUUCUUGUGCAUGCGAUGUGCAGGAUUUUGAGAUGGCUGCAGAGGAGCCUCGUAUGCAGCCCUCAAUUACAGAGGUAUCGAAUUCUUUAUGGAAGAUAAAGUUAUAAUUUUGUCAAUUUCAUAAACAAUAAAGUAAAAGUAUUAUAUAUUAA